CGCCCCCUGAAAAAUAAGCAUAGGGGGUCCUGCCUGCCCAGUGACUGAAAAGUUAAACGGCCGCGGUAUCUUGACCGUGCGAAGGUAGCAUAAUCAUUUGUCUCCUAAAUAGAGACUGGUAUGAAUGGCAAGACGGAGCUUCACUGUCUCCUCCUCUUUGAUCUGAACUUCACAUUCCCGUGAAGAGGCGAGAAUUAGUUCGUAAGACGAGAAGACCCUGUCGAGCUGUAGCUAAAUUUUAAUUGUUGUUUACUAUUAGCCCUAACUAAUUAUAAUAAGAGUAGCAGGCCUAAAGCAUGACAAAUUAAAACAAGCUUUGAUUGGGGCAAUCCCGGAGAAAGAAAAUCCUCCGCUACUAUAUGGUUAUAUUAACCUAAAAUAAAAGAAUUAUUUUUCUUAAAUCAUAAAAAUGAAGGUAUGAUCCACUUACAGUGAUCAAAAGAACAAGUUACCGCAGGGAUAACAGCGUUAUCUUUUCUGAGAGUUCAUAUUGACGAAAAGGUUUGCGACCUCGAUG
RNAcentral lists this ribosomal RNA (517 nucleotides) under Echinocardium cordatum (sea potato). RNAcentral's name for it is "partial 16S ribosomal RNA". It matches the Rfam family "Bacterial large subunit ribosomal RNA", at positions 1824 to 2531 of the family's 2925-position model. The record is from RNAcentral. Lineage: Eukaryota; Metazoa; Echinodermata; Echinoidea; Spatangoida; Loveniidae.